Molecule: ribosomal RNA, 253 nt
Filed under: uncultured bacterium
Lineage: Bacteria
Description: partial 16S ribosomal RNA
Rfam family: Bacterial small subunit ribosomal RNA
Source: RNAcentral
UACGUAGGGUGCGAGCGUUGUCCGGAAUUAUUGGGCGUAAAGAGCUUGUAGGCGGUUUGUCGCGUCUGCCGUGAAAAUCCGGGGCUCAACCCCGGACUUGCGGUGGGUACGGGCAGACUAGAGUGUGGUAGGGGAGACUGGAAUUCCUGGUGUAGCGGUGAAAUGCGCAGAUAUCAGGAGGAACACCGGUGGCGAAGGCGGGUCUCUGGGACGGUACUGACGCUGAGACGCGAAAGCGUGGGGAGCGAACAGG